CGCCCGAUUUUUUUUUAUUUUUGAAAAAAAUUACGAUUUCCGGAUUUUGUUCAUUUCCGUUACCGGUAACCGUCGAUAUUUCGUUUCGUGUAAAACUUCCUGUUUUAAAUUUCGGUUUUCGUAUUGCUUAAAAUAUUCUAACUGGAUGAUUAAGUCGAUAUAUUCUGCUGAUCUAUGAUGACAACAUCAUUUACCGAGAAUAAAUUAAAAGAUUGAUUAUGAGAAGGGCGUGAAAUAUUCGCUGUGUCCAAGAACGCAAAUCGCCGUACACUAUGUCACAAAUGACAAAUGUUUGCGAGUAAAACACCUUGGAUUUAUUUUAUUUAUACAAUGACUUUGUGUCAAGAAAUUUGGACUGUGAAGGAAACCCAAAAGCGUCAGAAUCGUGAAACACAUUUGACUGGAAUAAAGAAAUUGACACAAGCAUGAACUUUUUAGAUUAAUGACCGUAUAUUGAGUUCAGAAAAUCGACAAACAUACGCAUUUUUAAUUUAUUAAUUUACAGCAAGCUCUUAGAAAUAAAUUUAUCCAUGCCUUUCGUUUUUUUGUAAAAAAAAAACAACCCAGCAAACAUCCUCUGUCCCAAUACCCACGAUAGAGUCAUUAAACAACUCUGUUCUACAUUGUAAUUAUAUUUGCAUCUUGCAUAUUAAGGACCAACCCUAUUAUUUCAACACUGUUUGAGUUUUCAUUUUAUUCUGUACUUAUCGUACUCGUGUUGCAUACCAAUGGAUUUGCUUCAUUUUAUUCGGACAACAAAAACAUAGCUUAGAAAGCAAAAUAUAUUUCAUGUAGGUAGUCCAACUGAAGAGAGCAUUUCCUCACAUUUCUGCUGUUUACUAUAAAAUAGGUUUCUAAAGCGGCAAUUACAUGUAGAACAGUGGUGGCCAAUCAGAGAUAUAUACUUGAAUACGAAUUUGAAAAAGCGGCACCAGCAUAUGGAGUAAAUGUGUCUCAAUAUUGAUACGUUACUCUAGAGCUAGCUCAAAGUACAUGUACGCUGAUUUUGUUGAACGAGGAAUACUGCUUUCUCAAAAGUUGCUAAGACAGGGCUAUGAAUCAUCAAAUUAAGGUCAUCACUCAAUUGUAUGGUUGCCAUCAUGAGCUGAUUGGCCAUUAUGACAAAAGUGUGUCAGAAAUCAUAUCUCAGUGAUAUUCUUCCUCAGUCAUAACAACCUUCCAUCAUUACCGAA
Molecule: long non-coding RNA, 1193 nt
Filed under: Mytilus galloprovincialis (Mediterranean mussel)
Lineage: Eukaryota; Metazoa; Mollusca; Bivalvia; Mytilida; Mytilidae
Source: RNAcentral